RNAcentral lists this ribosomal RNA (383 nucleotides) under uncultured eukaryote. RNAcentral describes it as "SSU rRNA". It matches the Rfam family "Eukaryotic small subunit ribosomal RNA", at positions 587 to 972 of the family's 1831-position model. The record is from RNAcentral.
AGCUCCAAUAGCGUAUAUUAAAGUUGUUGCAGUUAAAAAUCUCGUAGUUGGAUUUCUGGUGGGAGGGAUCGGUCCAGCACUCUAUGUGGGAACUUGUAUCCUCUCCUGCCAUCCUUGGGUGGAUCUUGUCUGCCAUUAGGUUGUCAGUCAGGAGAUGCCCAUUGUUUACUGUGAAAAAAAUAGAGUGUUCGAAGCAGGUUUAUGCCAUUGAAUAAUUUACCAUGAAAUAGUAAGAUAAGGCCCUGGUACUAUUUUGUUGGUUUGCAUAACGAGGUACUAAUUAAUAGGGACAGUUGGGUGUAUUUGUAUUCAGUAUUAAAUGGUGAAAAAUUAGACCUACCAAAAAUAAACUACUGCGAGAAUAUUUACCAAGGAUAUGUUCA